GAUGGCAGUGGCUGUCCUAAACUGGGGACUGCGGGUCUGAAUUCCUGUCUUUCCCAGCCUCAGCUCUGCAGAGAACUAAGGGUGAGGCAAGUCWGGAUCCAGUUCUGGGCGACCUGAUAGAAGGCUCGGCCUCAUUUGGUCCUCGCCUGUCUAUCGAGCAAGAAGGGAGCGUUAGGGACAUGCGGAGGACACCUAUACUAUUGGCUGGCUCUAGCAGGCUGCUUCAUGCCCCUUGGAGCGGCGUUCCCUUUUGAAAACCUGGGGCUAAAUGUCUCUUCUGCUUAUGCCAGGCGUGUUCCGCCACCAUAUGCGCUAGAGAUCCAGGUAAACCCGGCGGCCCGAGAGAGUGACUACUCCCAGGGACCCCAGCCUCCUGGCCUCCACGCUGGCUCCGCUAGUUAGCGGAUGAGGACGUUGAUCUCAGCCACGCUGGCCUCCAGCACG
Long non-coding RNA from Urocitellus parryii (Arctic ground squirrel), 444 nucleotides. RefSeq lists it as uncharacterized. Lineage: Eukaryota; Metazoa; Chordata; Mammalia; Rodentia; Sciuridae. The record is from RefSeq and is a predicted model, not a curated record.